CAGUCGCCGCGGGAAAACGUAGGGGGCGAGCGUUGUCGAAGUUACUGGGCGUAAAGCGCGCGUAGGCGGCUUCUUAAGUCUGAGGUGAAAGGUUCAACGCUUAACGUGAACAGUGCCUUGGAUACUGGGGAGCUUGAGUAUGGGAGAGGGCAGUGGAAUGGCUGGUGUAGCGGUGAAAUGCGUAGAUAUCAGUCGGAACACCCAUGGCGAAGGCAGCUGCCUGGCCUAAUACUGACGCUGAGGCGCGAAAGCGUGGGGAGCGAACGGGAUUAGAUACCCGUGUAGUCCCUGUCUCUUAUAC
RNAcentral lists this ribosomal RNA (301 nucleotides) under uncultured bacterium. RNAcentral's name for it is "partial 16S ribosomal RNA". It matches the Rfam family "Bacterial small subunit ribosomal RNA", at positions 509 to 807 of the family's 1533-position model. The record is from RNAcentral.